RNAcentral lists this ribosomal RNA (490 nucleotides) under uncultured bacterium. RNAcentral's name for it is "partial 16S ribosomal RNA". It matches the Rfam family "Bacterial small subunit ribosomal RNA", at positions 30 to 507 of the family's 1533-position model. The record is from RNAcentral.
AUUGAACGCUGGCGGCAGGCCUAACACAUGCAAGUCGAACGGUAACAGGAAGAAGCUUGCUUCUUUGCUGACGAGUGGCGGACGGGUGAGUAAUGUCUGGGAAACUGCCUGAUGGAGGGGGAUAACUACUGGAAACGGUAGCUAAUACCGCAUAACGUCGCAAGACCAAAGAGGGGGACCUUCGGGCCUCUUGCCAUCGGAUGUGCCCAGAUGGGAUUAGCUAGUAGGUGGGGUAACGGCUCACCUAGGCGACGAUCCCUAGCUGGUCUGAGAGGAUGACCAGCCACACUGGAACUGAGACACGGUCCAGGCUCCUACGGGAGGCAGCAGUGGGGAAUAUUGCACAAUGGGCGCAAGCCUGAUGCAGCCAUGCCGAGUGUAUGAAGAAGGCCUUCGGGUUGUAAAGUACUUUCAGCGGGGAGGAAGGGAGUAAAGUUAAUACCUUUACUCAUUGACGUUACCCGCAGAAGAAGCACCGGCUAACUCCGUG